RNAcentral lists this ribosomal RNA (617 nucleotides) under uncultured bacterium. RNAcentral's name for it is "bacterial SSU rRNA". It matches the Rfam family "Bacterial small subunit ribosomal RNA", at positions 259 to 869 of the family's 1533-position model. The record is from RNAcentral.
AAAAGCUUAGCAAGCGGACGAUCUGUAGCUGGUCUGAGAGGACGAUCAGCCACACUGGGAGUGAGACACGGCCCAGACUCCUACGGGAGGCAGCAGUGGGGAAUUUUGGACAAUGGCAGAAAGCAUGAUCCAGCAAUGCCGCGUGCAGGAUGAAGGCCUUCGGGUUGUAAAAUGAUUUUGUACGGAAUGAAAAGCUUUGGGUUAAUACCCUGGAGUCAUGACGGUACAGUAAGAAUAAGCACCGGCUAACUACGUCCCAGCAGCCGCGGUAAUAUGUAGGGUGCAAGCGUUCAUCGGAAUUACUGGGCGUAAAGCGUGUGCAGGCGGUUUUGUAAGACAGAGGUGAAAUCUCCGGUCUCAACCUGGGAACCGCCUUUGUGACUGCAUGGCUAGAGUACGGCAGAGGGGGGUGGAAUUCCGCGUGUAGCAGUGAAAUGUGUAGAUAUGCGGAGGAACACCGAUGGAGAAGGCAACCCCCUGCGCCUGUACUGACGGUCAUGCAAGAAAGCGUGGGGAGCAAACAGGAUUAGAUCCCGGGGGAGUCCACGCCCUAAAAGAUGUCAACUGGUUGGUGGGUUUUAACUCAUUCAGUAACGAAGUUAACACAAGAAGUUGAC